GUUUACUGGUAAACUGUUGCAGGCCAGCUGACAGUCUUGCCUGGGCCCGGGACGAGAUAAUCUUAGAUGGGCACCCCCCCUUGCUCUUCCUCUCCUCUUCCUCUCCUCUGAUCUUCCUCUCCUGUUCCUCUUCGCUUCCUCACCUCUCAUCUCUCGCUGUGCUUGCUGAAAUUAAGCAUGUGAUCAAUCUCUGAUCCAUCCUGCUCAGACUCUCCGACGGGGGGGGCAGCAUCUCUCUCUCUCUCUC
This is a long non-coding RNA of Sander lucioperca (pikeperch), 247 nucleotides long. RefSeq lists it as uncharacterized. The transcript has 3 exons. The record is from RefSeq and is a predicted model, not a curated record. Lineage: Eukaryota; Metazoa; Chordata; Actinopteri; Perciformes; Percidae.